GAUCACGCCACUGCACUCUAGCCUGAGCAACAGAGUGAGGCCUCAUGUCAAAAAAAUAUGUAUAUUGCUAACAUACAAUUUCUCAUUGUUAUUUACCCUUCAUUUGACAUUGUAUUCUAUAGUCUCAACUUCAUCUUUACAGCAUUCAUUCAAGAAAGGAAAUGGGGAUUGCAUGAGGAAAAAGAGAGCAAAGGAAAAAAUUUCAAUAAAGGAAAUCGUGUUCCCUUUCCCCCACCUCCAAAACAAAAAUUCUCCUUUGCUGGAAAGUGGACCUAAAAGUGUUUUUGCUUUUCAAAACAGUUUUCUAAACACACACACACACGCGCGCGCACACACACACACACACAAACACAGUAUUUCAUGGCCUGUGCACCACUUCUUGCCUGCUGGCUCAAGGUCUAGCUUGUUUUUCCACCCCACAGUGUCAGGCAGGUCCAGCCCUCCUUUAUGUCCUAGAGUUCGUGUUGGUGCCAGGCAGCUUCAGAUUCUGUGCCCCGUUUGAAAUCAUUCGCAAGAUCUGAAUUGUUAAAGAAAAUAUGCUGGCUUCUGAGUAAUGCUAACCACUGGAAAAUAUUAGAAAACAUUUCAAAAUAAGAGAGUCCUUGGAUCUGUUAUUUAUUUUUUAUUGGAAUUGAAUUAAAUUACUGGUCAGCAUCACAAAAGUAAAAACCUCUGUCAUUCACCAUUAUCUUUUCCCCCUUUAAGAAUCAAAAGGAAGCCCCACGGCUGGGGGAAAAAUCUUCCAGCUAAGUGAACCUCACUGUUUGUUCUACCUGGGCCUGACCUGCACAGUAACCAGAAGCUUCCUGGGCCUAGCAGUUUCAACCAAGUAUUUCAGGAACCUGUGCUCACCCUUGGCAAUAACAAGCCUCGGGUGAUUUCAGCUGUCAAGUGUCUCUGAUCCUCAGAUUCUUACAAGGGAGCUUUGCAAAGCUUGUAGUCUCUCCUUCCUAAUUUAAUUUAAACUGCACUUGUGAUAAAGAGGUAAGUGCGCGGCUUCUCCCUAAUGCUACCACGAAUUUCUGUAUGACACAGAUCCUCCUUGGGGCUGAGAGUGAAGUGCUGGGAGUCUAAAAAGAACCGUGUCCAUCCCCUGUGUCCCAUGGUGUCUCCAGGGAGCUGCCAUCCUCCCAGCCCCCUCCCACCUGUCUCUUUUCUCCUCAGCCAGCCCCCAGCGUGGAGGUGCCCACUGCUCCCACAGUGUCUCUGCCAGACUCUUCCAGGGCCCACUGCAGAGCCAGGCACAGCUUCCCCAAUCUCUCCUCAUCCCUGCUGCCUCCAAAACAAACACACAUUAGAAAAAGGACAAAGGAGUUUUGGUUCUAGAAAGGUCAAAGAGUUUUAAAAAUUACCGACAUUGGGAAAAUUACAAGGUUGCUAAAGAAUCUGAAAAAACUACCAGCAGCGGUUCCCAGAGCCUGACCUCAUUUAUGUUUCAAUGGAGACCGGGGUCAACUGCUCUGAAUAUUUCCCAAGCAUUCUUAUUAAUCUUUUGUGGAGCUAGAGGUUGGUCUUGUGGGCACCUUCGCUGUUACCAAGCUGUGCCUAGCUCUUGGGUCCAGGCCCAAUCCCUGACCCUUUAAUGAAGAACACACUUCUCCUUCUCCCCUACAAAGGCCUCUCCCUUGGGCUUUAGGCUACUUGUUUUGACCUUCAGUUUGCCACCAGGGUCCAUCAUGGAGGGCUCUUGGUUGAAGUCUUAGGAAUCUGCCCUCCUACCCCUCCCCCACAAAGACAUCCCCUCCGGGCCAUUGUUCCUUUGCAGUUGUCUUCCGUGUUCCUCCCAGAGGCUGUGUGCCUCUGGCAUACAGCACCAUGCGGGUCUCUCUCAUUGAAUUAAAACUGGCCCAGUGAGGCAAUACAACACAAUGAGGAAAAGGUGUGUCUCGACGGGGUACCAUCCGGCAGGCAGCUUGAGCUCAGCGGUCCUCAGUCUUCUCAGCUGCAAAAUGGGGUUGCCAAUUGUGAAAGGGAAAUUAAAAAUUGGGAUCACAAUUUACUCUGCCAAAAGAAAAAUUAAGCCGAAAGCUGAAUCAUGCAAGAUGCGGCCUUUCCUUUUGUUCCUAAGCAGAGAUCUACAGAUAAAAGCUUCAACCUCUCCACAGGUAAAUUCUCCGUGUUCACCUUAUGUUACAUGAAUUGCCAAUUUACUGAGCACGAUUUACUGAGUAGAGAGGAAUACGUAACGACGAUUGCCCUACCUGCCCCUUUUCUCUUUUCCGCUUUAAAUAUUGAAGCCCUCAAAAUUCGUGAUUGGAGAAAGGCACAGACCACAGAUUGUUUCUGUGAUUCCAUGUUAAUUGCUUCUGGGCACGUCCUUAACCUUGAGAAAAUCAACUUCUAAAUUGAUUGAGACCUGUCUCCAAAAUUUUUUGGUUUACAUAAUCCCACUUUAUCAUGCUACCGUGAGGAUGACAUUGGGCAAUCAUAAGCCCCUGACCUGUACCUGGAAUAUGGUGAUUGCUCAAUAAACACUGGUUCUGAUUAUAAUUUUUAUUAAUGUCUUUUUUAAAAUCAAUUUGCUCACUGAUUUUUAUUCUUUCUUUACUUAAAAAAAAAAAAUAGACCACCUUUAGACUGCCUCCUUUCGUCAAGCACAAUGUGAGGCAUUGGGGGUACAACGGGAAGUAACUGUCUCUGCCUUCCAGGAAUUCUGCAGAGUGGUAAAGAGGACAAAUACCAACAAUUACAGAGCAAUGAGCUAGGUCUUGCAAUGGGAAUAUCCUCGGUCUCCUGUGGGAAUGUUGGAUGAGAAGCAACUAACUCUGCCUGAGGACUAGAACAGGGAGAGGCUGUGCAGAGAAGACCUCCUAGAGGAGCUGACGAGAGUCAGACUGAACAAGACCAGAAGGGAAUUGCCACAGCCGGAAGGAGGAAGGAAGGUCCUGCCUGGGGAAACCGAGGUACAGUCAGCAGGGAUGGCUGGUCCUGCCCUCCAUGGCCCUGGGCUGGUACAACAGUUGUUCUCAUUUAAUCUGUGGAUCCAGUCUCCUUAGUAACCAUGCAGACUCAGUAGAGAACAACGUUCUGGAGCCUGCUUCUGUGAACAUCCAUCUCUCAGUUUCAAAGCGCUACCUCCAGACGAGCCUUCCUUCGCAGCACGGUGUUUCACCUGAGGAACAUAUUAAUAAUAUGACUCGCACUGUUUGAGCGCUUUCCAUGUGCUCUGCACGAUCUGGGCCUUUCAAACAUCAUCUCAUGCAGUCCUCUCCAAAGCUACCCUGUGUGGUCAUCUCGUCUCGUGUCAAAUCCCGGCUCCAAACAGUUUCUACGCUGGCCCUUGGGCAAGUAACCUCACUUUGCCUCUGUUUCUUCCUCUUCCAAAGGGGAUGCCCAGCCCACCUCACAGGUUGACAAGGCGGCGAUAGGAGUUAAUGUAAGCAGAGCCCUUAGAACAGUCACCAGCACAUGGCUCUGAGUUCAUUAUUCCAGUGAAACCAUACUAAGGAAAAAAGACUUUUUACCCUCCUCUCAUCUGUUGAACUUUGGCUUCCUUCACUCUCCCUUGCUCUGCACACCCCAGCUCCUCCGAAAUCAAAUGUCAGGAGACUAACCCCGUGAAGAGUCUCUAAGAAUGGAGUUCUCAUCAAUAUUGUUCAUGUUGCGGGGAGGGGUGGACUGGGAGUUCCUGUUUAAAGUAUUCAGAAUUUCUGCUGGGGAUAAUGACAAAGUUCUGGAAAUCGUUGGUGAUUACACAACAUUGUGUAUGUGGCUAAUGCCAAUGAAUUGUACAUUUUAAAAUGGUUACAUGGUAAUUUUAAAAUAUAUUUUAUCACAAUGAAAAAAUCUU
This is a non-coding RNA of Macaca mulatta (Rhesus monkey), 3790 nucleotides long. NCBI's taxonomy places the organism in Eukaryota, Metazoa, Chordata, Mammalia, Primates, Cercopithecidae. The record is from RefSeq and is a predicted model, not a curated record.